GACGAACGCUGGCGGCGUGCUUAACACAUGCAAGUCGAACGGAAAGGCCCUGCUUUUGUGGGGUGCUCGAGUGGCGAACGGGUGAGUAACACGUGAGUAACCUGCCCUUGACUUUGGGAUAACUUCAGGAAACUGGGGCUAAUACCGGAUAGGAGCUCCUGCUGCAUGGUGGGGGUUGGAAAGUUUCGGCGGUUGGGGAUGGACUCGCGGCUUAUCAGCUUGUUGGUGGGGUAGUGGCUUACCAAGGCUUUGACGGGUAGCCGGCCUGAGAGGGUGACCGGCCACAUUGGGACUGAGAUACGGCCCAGACUCCUACGGGAGGCAGCAGUGGGGAAUAUUGCACAAUGGGCGGAAGCCUGAUGCAGCAACGCCGCGUGCGGGAUGACGGCCUUCGGGUUGUAAACCGCUUUCGCCUGUGACGAGGCGUGAGUGACGGUAAUGGGUAAAGAAGCACCGGCUAACUACGUGCCAGCAGCCGCGGUGAUACGUAGGGUGCGAGCGUUGUCCGGAUUUAUUGGGCGUAAAGGGCUCGUAGGUGGUUGAUCGCGUCGGAAGUGUAAUCUUGGGGCUUAACCCUGAGCGUGCUUUCGAUACGGGUUGACUUGAGGAAGGUAGGGGAGAAUGGAAUUCCUGGUGGAGCGGUGGAAUGCGCAGAUAUCAGGAGGAACACCAGUGGCGAAGGCGGUUCUCUGGGCCUUUCCUGACGCUGAGGAGCGAAAGCGUGGGGAGCGAACAGGCUUAGAUACCCUGGUAGUCCACGCUGUAAACGGUGGGUACUAGGUGUGGGGUCCAUUCCACGGGUUCCGUGCCGUAGCUAACGCUUUAAGUACCCCGCCUGGGGAGUACGGCCGCAAGGCUAAAACUCAAAGGAAUUGACGGGGCCCCGCACAAGCGGCGGAGCAUGCGGAUUAAUUCGAUGCAACGCGUAGAACCUUACCUGGGUUUGACAUGGAUCGGGAGUGCUCAGAGAUGGGUGUGCCUCUUUUGGGGUCGGUUCACAGGUGGUGCUUGCCUGUCGUCAGCUCGUGUCGUGAGAUGUUGGGUUAAGUCCCGCAACGAGCGCAACCCUUGUUCACUGUUGCCAGCACGUUAUGGUGGGGACUCAGUGGAGACCGCCGGGGUCAACUCGGAGGAAGGUGGGGAUGACGUCAAGUCCUCAUGCCCCUUAUGUCCAGGGCUUCACGCAUGCUACAAUGGCUGGUACAGAGAGUGGCGAGCCUGUGAGGGUGAGCGAAUCUCGGAAAGCCGGUCUCAGUUCGGAUUGGGGUCUGCAACUCGACCUCAUGAAGUCGGAGUCGCUAGUAAUCGCAGAUCAGCAACGCUGCGGUGAAUACGUUCCCGGG
RNAcentral lists this ribosomal RNA (1343 nucleotides) under uncultured bacterium. RNAcentral's name for it is "16S ribosomal RNA". It matches the Rfam family "Bacterial small subunit ribosomal RNA", at positions 28 to 1378 of the family's 1533-position model. The record is from RNAcentral.